RNAcentral lists this ribosomal RNA (418 nucleotides) under uncultured prokaryote. RNAcentral describes it as "bacterial SSU rRNA". It matches the Rfam family "Archaeal small subunit ribosomal RNA", at positions 455 to 873 of the family's 1478-position model. The record is from RNAcentral.
GUGUCAGCCGCCGCGGUAACACCAGCCCCUCGAGUGGUGGGGACGUUUAUUUGGCCUAAAGCGUCCGUAGCCGGCCGGGUAAGUCUCCCGUUAAAUCCAGCGUCUCAAGCGUUGGGCUGCGGGAGAUACUGUCCGGCUAGAGAGUGGGAGAGGUCAGCGGUAUUCCUGGGGUAGGGGCGAAAUCCUUUGAUCCCAGGAGGACCACCAGUGGCGAAGGCUGCUGACUAGAACACGUCUGACGGUCAGGGACGAAAGCUGGGGUAGCGAACCGGAUUAGAUACCCGGGUAGUCCCAGCCGUAAACGAUGCAUGCUAGGUGUUGGGUUGGCCACGAGCCACCCCAGUGCCGCAGGGAAGCCGUUAAGCAUGCCGCCUGGGGAGUACGGUCGCAAGACUGAAACUUAAAGGAAUUGACGGGG